AUGUCUCCGCAGCCGCACUUCCUCGUGCUCACGUUCCCGCUCCAGGGCCACAUCGCGCCGGCGCUCCGCCUCGCCCGGCGCCUGCUCGCCACCGCGCCCGACGCGCUCGCCACGUUCUCCACCACCGAAGCAGCGCACCGCCGCAUGUUCCCGGCGGACGCGGACGCGGCCGACGGCGGCGGUGAUGGCGGCCGCCUCGAGCUCCUCCCGUUCUCGGACGGCACCGGGACCGGGUACGUCCGGAGCAGCACCGACCCCGCGGCCUUCACCGACUACAUGGCGUCCUUCCAGGCCGCGGGCGCGCGCAGCGUCGGGGAGCUGGUGGACGCGCUCGCCGCGCGCGGCCGCCCCGUGACCCGCGUCGUGUACACGAUGCUCCUCCCGUGGGCCGCGGACGUGGCGCGCGACAAAGGCCUGCCGUCCGCGCUCUACUGGAUCCAGCCGGCCGCCGUGCUCGCCGUCUACUACCACUACUUCCAUGGCCACGCCGCCGUCGUGGCCGACCACCGCCACGACCCGUCGUUCCUCGUGCGCUUCCCGGGCCUCCCGCCGCAGGCCGUGCGGGACCUCCCGUCCUUCCUCACCGACUCCACCGACCCGUCCGACUUCUUCCACAGCGUGUACACUACCGUCCGCGACCUGUUCGACACGCUCGACAGGGAGACCCCCAGAGCCACCGUGCUGGUCAACACGUGCCAGGAACUCGAGGAGGGCGCGCUCGCCGCGGUGGCAGCGUACGACGCGCUGCCGAUCGGCCCGGUGCUCCCGUCCCGCGACGAGGCCGGCCUCUUCAAGCAGGACGGCGCCAAGUACAUGGAGUGGCUCGACGACAAACCGGCCGACUCCGUGGUGUACGUCGCGUUCGGCAGCCUGGCGAGGAUGGAGAGGGAGCAGCUCGACGAGCUGCUCCUCGGACUCGAGGACACCGGGAGGCCGUACCUGUGCGUCGUCCGGAAGGACAUCAAGGCGGAGCUCGCGGAUGGCGAGGCGACGGAGACGGAGAUGGACGCGCCGCUCAAGAACGGCAUGGUGGUGGAGUGGUGCGACCAAGUGCGCGUGCUGUCGCACGCGGCGGUGGGCUGCUUCGUGACGCACUGCGGGUGGAACUCCGUGAUGGAGAGCGUGGCGUGCGGCGUGCCGAUGGUGUGCGUGCCGAAGAUGUCGGACCAGCGGAUGAACGCGUGGCUCGUCGAGUGCGAGUGGCGCGUGGGAGCGCGCGCGGAGGUGGGCGGCGACGGCGUGCUGCGCGCUGCCGAGGUGAGGCGGCGUGUGGAGGAGGUGAUGCGGGAGGGCGAGGCCGCGGGGGGCGCACGGCGCGCGGCGUCAGAGUGGAAGCGGGCGGUCGUGGAGGCUCUGGGGGAAGGUGGUUCGUCGGAUCGUAAUCUAAGGGCAUUCCUCGAGGGCAACACUAGUGGUGUCUCCUUGUGA
Molecule: ribosomal RNA, 1428 nt
Filed under: Triticum aestivum (bread wheat)
Lineage: Eukaryota; Viridiplantae; Streptophyta; Magnoliopsida; Poales; Poaceae
Description: partial small subunit ribosomal RNA
Source: RNAcentral